CAGUCGGAUAGAUACUACGGUUUCUUGAUCCGAGAUGAUGAUCUUGUUCAGUUUGAUGAGAACGACGAGGAUCCGAUCACCUAUAUAGUGCGAUGUAGAGGUCUGAUUCUGAGAAAUAGCUUGAAGCCAUAAAGUCUGAAAUAAAGUCCACGAAAGGCAAUGAUGUGUGGACAUUAGUUGAUCCACUUGAAGGGAUAAAACUCAUAGGGUGUAAAUGGAUCUUCAAAAGGAAAAGGGGCAU
This 241-nucleotide long non-coding RNA is filed under the name Elaeis guineensis (African oil palm). Its description in RNAcentral is "long non-coding RNA (EGUI_LNC033793)". Lineage: Eukaryota; Viridiplantae; Streptophyta; Magnoliopsida; Arecales; Arecaceae. The record is from RNAcentral.